GAUGAACGCUGGCGCGCGUGUCUUAACACAUGCAAGUCGAACGGAGUGCCUUUGAAAGAGGAUUCGUCCAAUUGAUAAGGUUACUUAGUGGCGGACGGGUGAGUAACGCGUGAGGAACCUGCCUUGGAGUGGGGAAUAACACAGUGAAAAUUGUGCUAAUACCGCAUAAUGCAGUUGGGCCGCAUGGCUCUGACUGCCAAAGAUUUAUCGCUCUGAGAUGGCCUCGCGUCUGAUUAGCUAGUUGGUGGGGUAACGGCCCACCAAGGCGACGAUCAGUAGCCGGACUGAGAGGUUGAACGGCCACAUUGGGACUGAGACACGGCCCAGACUCCUACGGGAGGCAGCAGUGGGGAAUAUUGCGCAAUGGGGGCAACCCUGACGCAGCAACGCCGCGUGAUUGAUGAAGGUCUUCGGAUUGUAAAAAUCUUUAAUCAGGGACGAAGAAAAUGACGGUACCUGAAGAAUAAGCUCCGGCUAACUACGUGCCAGCAGCCGCGGUAAUACGUAGGGAGCAAGCGUUAUCCGGAUUUACUGGGUGUAAAGGGCGUGUAGGCGGGCUUGCAAGUUGGAAGUGAAAUCUCGGGGCUUAACCCCGAAGCUGCUUUCAAAACUGCGAGUCUUGAGUGAUGGAGAGGCAGGCGGAAUUCCCAGUGUAGCGGUGAAAUGCGUAGAUAUUGGGAGGAACACCAGUGGCGAAGGCGGCCUGCUGGACAUUAACUGACGCUGAGGCGCGAAAGCGUGNGGAGCAAACAGG
Molecule: ribosomal RNA, 754 nt
Filed under: uncultured bacterium
Lineage: Bacteria
Description: bacterial SSU rRNA
Rfam family: Bacterial small subunit ribosomal RNA
Source: RNAcentral